UACAGAGGUCUCAAGCGUUGUUCGGAUUCAUUGGGCGUAAAGGGUGCGUAGGCGGCGCGGUGAGUCGGAUGUGAAAUCUCGGAGCUUAACUCCGAAACUGCAUUCGAUACUGCCGUGCUUGAGGACUGGAGAGGAGACUGGAAUUUACGGUGUAGCGGUGAAAUGCGUAGAUAUCGUAAGGAAGACCAGUGGCGAAGGCGGGUCUCUGGACAGUUCCUGACGCUGAGGCACGAAGGCCAGGGGAGCAAACGGG
RNAcentral lists this ribosomal RNA (253 nucleotides) under uncultured bacterium. RNAcentral describes it as "partial 16S ribosomal RNA". It matches the Rfam family "Bacterial small subunit ribosomal RNA", at positions 524 to 776 of the family's 1533-position model. The record is from RNAcentral.